GCCAAGGCAGAGCUCCUUGUGCACUCACAGACCCACCAGCUCCGAGGGGGACAGGCCACUGGAGAAUCCCGACAUGCCAAGACGCCAGCAGAGAUGCUCUUGAGUUCACACAGGUGUAAACACGAUCUGGGCCAGGCCAGGAGUUUGAGACAAUCUGGCUUCCAAUGCCUCUGUUUCCUGUGCCUUGAGGUCUUAAACAUCUUGACAAUUGCUUAAGAUCUGCCUUUCCUACCCAAAGGAAGAAGACAGCUCAGCGGACCAGGAACGGUCUCUGGAGCUUUCUGCCUCCAGGGGAAGCUCAGCUUCAUCUCAUGCUAGUUGCAAUUCAAGCGUGGGAUGAGCAGCAGCCGCGUGACUGGAUUGGGGUUUGCUUCCAAUGGGCAAGGCUGUGAAAACCAUCGCCUGCCAUUAGCAAUGCCAUCCAGGACCAAAGGCUCAUCAACUUGACGCCGCCUCAUGCUGGCAUAAUCCUGCCCAGCUUGCACCCCAUCAGAGCUUCCAGACAGGUGGUCUUGGAGAUGAAGACAUGGAGCCACUCAAGAUGUGUGACCAAAAUCCCGUAACAACUAUUUAUCAGUUCAUUACUUCACUUCACAUGCAACAUCAAGUCCAGAACUGAAGAUAAACAACUAAGGACCAAGCCUUAAUCCUCACUAGGCCUCCCAGGACAGGACCUCCCUUUUCCUCUCCACCAUCAAAUAUCCCCAUCCCCAAGGGCAUCAAGGAGAAGCUGCAAACAGGAUGAGGAUCGGCAGCUGAGGCUGACAGUAAAGCUGGAAGGAGAACUGGCUCCCACUUGCCCAGAUCAGCCGAGACCCAGCCUCCAGCGCGGCUCCUCUCCUUGCUAGUAGUCUCCGCUCUGGAAGGCGGUGGAGACAGCUCAGUGAGGAUUUGGGCCGGAUACACGUGCCCCUGUCCCCUCCUCCACAGAGGAAAUCCUCUCUCGCUUCCUCCGCUAGCAUCCCCAGCCCCAGGCCCUCCCAGAGCGCUCAACAAGGCUAAACUCACAGGCCGUCUUUCACAUGAAGGCCUCGAUGCAUUGCAGGGGCAAGCAAGAACAGGCUUAGGGCAGUUCUCUGAAGAGAGCGGGUAACCAAAGUGGUACAGAUCCCUACCCCACCUCACACUGCUGCACUGCAGUAAGACUGCACUCGGCCUGGUGCAGGAUGUGGACGCUUCCAGCCAAAGAACCGAACUGCUUCUGGAGCUUUCGCAGUUUCAUCUGUACGUGCAGCUGACUGUUUAACAUCAACCCCCUGCCCCGAUGCAGCCCUCAGCCACGAAUCGCAGGGAGUCUUUCUGACGCGGACCUGGCUGCUGGAUCUGAGGGGUGUCUGGUGAGCACCGGCCCUCGGGAGCCCGGCCCCGGAGAAGCAGCUGACUCGUGAUCCUUCACACUCACGCUCUGCCAAACCCUUAGGAAGUGAGUGUGGCAGAUAUGUCGCCAUCAUUUAAGAGGAACUUUCAUUUUCAGUUUCCUUCUCGAUAUAGUUCCUUGCAGCGCUCUCUUCUCUUGCAGCACGGGACACUUGGGCCCUUUCGCACAUAGCACGCAUCCCGGCCUGGCAGCUCCGUCCCAGGCAACCGGGCCCGCUCCCAGCCCGCGACCUGGUCCCAGUGACAACGGGCUGCGUUCUGACCGCAGCUCCCUGCUGCCCCGGGACCCCCGCGCUCCCGCUUUUGCAAGGCUAGCGGACU
This is a long non-coding RNA of Dromaius novaehollandiae (emu), 1698 nucleotides long. RefSeq lists it as uncharacterized. Lineage: Eukaryota; Metazoa; Chordata; Aves; Casuariiformes; Dromaiidae. The record is from RefSeq and is a predicted model, not a curated record. The transcript is spliced from 3 exons.